AUUGAACGCUGGCGGCAUGCCUUACACAUGCAAGUCGAACGGUAACGCGGGGCAACCUGGCGGCGAGCGGCGAACGGGUGAGUAACAUAUCGGAACGUACCCAGUCGUGGGGGAUAACUAUCCGAAAGGAUAGCUAAUACCGCAUACGACCUGAGGGUGAAAGCGGGGGACCGAAAGGCCUCGCGCGAUUGGAGCGGCCGAUAUCGGAUUAGCUAGUUGGUGAGGUAAAGGCUCACCAAGGCGACGAUCCGUAGCUGGUCUGAGAGGACGACCAGCCACACUGGAACUGAGACACGGUCCAGACUCCUACGGGAGGCAGCAGUGGGGAAUUUUGGACAAUGGGGGCAACCCUGAUCCAGCCAUUCCGCGUGAGUGAAGAAGGCCUCGGUUGUAAGCUCUUCGGUCAGGAACGAAACGGUAGGUCCCGUAA
This 430-nucleotide ribosomal RNA is filed under the name uncultured bacterium. Its description in RNAcentral is "bacterial SSU rRNA". It matches the Rfam family "Bacterial small subunit ribosomal RNA", at positions 29 to 465 of the family's 1533-position model. The record is from RNAcentral.